This 482-nucleotide ribosomal RNA is filed under the name uncultured bacterium. Its description in RNAcentral is "partial 16S ribosomal RNA". It matches the Rfam family "Bacterial small subunit ribosomal RNA", at positions 30 to 507 of the family's 1533-position model. The record is from RNAcentral.
AUUGAACGCUGGCGGCAUGCUUUACACAUGCAAGUCGAACGGUAACAGGCCGCAAGGUGCUGACGAGUGGCGAACGGGUGAGUAAUGCAUCGGAACGUGCCCAGUCGUGGGGGAUAACUACUCGAAAGAGUAGCUAAUACCGCAUACGAUCUAUGGAUGACAGCGGGGGACCGUAAGGCCUCGCGCGAUUGGAGCGGCCGAUGUCAGAUUAGGUAGUUGGUCGGGUAAAGGCUCACCAAGCCAACGAUCUGUAGCUGGUCUGAGAGGACGACCAGCCACACUGGGACUGAGACACGGCCCAGACUCCUACGGGAGGCAGCAGUGGGGAAUUUUGGACAAUGGGCGCAAGCCUGAUCCAGCAAUGCCGCGUGCAGGAAGAAGGCCUUCGGGUUGUAAACUGCUUUUGUACGGAACGAAACGGCUCUGGUUAAUACCCGGGGCUAAUGACGGUACCGUAAGAAUAAGCACCGGCUAACUACGUG